UCAAAACGCAGAUUAAAUCAUAAACAUAUAACAAGUAGUUUCAUCAUCAAAAUAUGAGAUUCAACAAUCUCCCCCUUUUUGAUGAUGACAACUACUUGAUGACGGAGUUAAACUUAACUCCCGGAGUUUAAACAAACUCCCCCUAUCAAUAUGCCAUAUUGAUAGAAACUCUUGGAUUCAAAAAUCCAAGCAACAUGUCAU
RNAcentral lists this long non-coding RNA (201 nucleotides) under Musa acuminata (dwarf banana). RNAcentral's name for it is "long non-coding RNA (MACU_LNC009142)". Lineage: Eukaryota; Viridiplantae; Streptophyta; Magnoliopsida; Zingiberales; Musaceae. The record is from RNAcentral.